This 73-nucleotide transfer RNA is filed under the name Metrius contractus. RNAcentral's name for it is "tRNA-Trp". Lineage: Eukaryota; Metazoa; Arthropoda; Insecta; Coleoptera; Carabidae. The record is from RNAcentral.
AAGGAUUUAAGUUAACCCAAUAAAACUAACAGCCUUCAAAGCUGUAAAUAAAGGAAAGGAGCUUUAAGCCUUA